Molecule: ribosomal RNA, 252 nt
Filed under: uncultured bacterium
Lineage: Bacteria
Description: partial 16S ribosomal RNA
Rfam family: Bacterial small subunit ribosomal RNA
Source: RNAcentral
GCUUCCCUACGGGGCGCAGCAGUAGGGAAUCUUCCACAAUGGACGAAAGUCUGAUGGAGCAACGCCGCGUGAGUGAAGAAGGGUUUCGGCUCGUAAAGCUCUGUUGGUAGGGAAGAAAGAUAGAGGUAGUAACUGGCCUUUAUUUUACGGUAAUUACUUAGAAAGUCACGGCUAACUACGUGCCAGCAGCCGCGGUAAUACGUAGGUUGCAAGCGUUUUCCGGAUUUAUUUGGCGUAAAACGGGUGCAGGCG